This 178-nucleotide ribosomal RNA is filed under the name uncultured bacterium. RNAcentral's name for it is "partial 16S ribosomal RNA". It matches the Rfam family "Bacterial small subunit ribosomal RNA", at positions 1322 to 1500 of the family's 1533-position model. The record is from RNAcentral.
GAAGCCGGAAUUGCUAGUAAUGGCAGGUCAGCAUACUGCCGUGAAUACGUUCCCGGGCCUUGUACACACCGCCCGUCACACCAUGAGAGUUGGGAGUACCCGAAGCCUGUGAGCUAACAUUAAGAGGCAGCAGUCGAAGGUAGAAUCAAUGAUUGGGGUGAAGUCGUAACAAGGUACC